GGGACCCUACAUUCCAUUCUGCUCUUAGGAGGGAGGAUUGGUCCAGGACAGUUCUACGCAUUUACUUGGCAAACAAAGAAGCAGGAGGCACUGUGUGGGGCUGAUUCCUCAAGAGGAAGGUAAGCUCCUGUUUUUAUUCACCAGGGCACCCA
RNAcentral lists this long non-coding RNA (152 nucleotides) under Sus scrofa (pig). RNAcentral describes it as "lncRNA (ENSSSCG00070025402.1)". Lineage: Eukaryota; Metazoa; Chordata; Mammalia; Artiodactyla; Suidae. The record is from RNAcentral.